CUUUUACGUCGGCCUUCGCGAGCGUCUGGGCGGGUGGUAGGAACAAUGGCGCUGUCUUCAGUGGCACAGUGGAGCAGCUCUGAAGAUGCAAAGAUACACGAAAAAACUUCCAGAACAUCUGGGAGAAUAUUUAAUGGAAAAUCGCUUGGUUAAAACCUGACACUUUUAACAGCGUUCUGAGUGUGGACGAGUAGCCAGUGAAGAUAAUGAAUGUCGAAUGUGACUGACUAGCAGCUUCAUUUUGAAGUAGGGUCGCUGUCUGCCCAUUGAUAGAGGCCAGAUUGUCUUGGAAGUUCC
RNAcentral lists this long non-coding RNA (297 nucleotides) under Homo sapiens (human). RNAcentral describes it as "non-protein coding SNHG5:36". The record is from RNAcentral. Lineage: Eukaryota; Metazoa; Chordata; Mammalia; Primates; Hominidae.